UACGUAGGGUGCGAGCGUUGUCCGGAAUUAUUGGGCGUAAAGGGCUCGUAGGCGGUUUGUCGCGUCGGGAGUGAAAACCUUGGGCUUAACUCAGGGCUUGCUUUCGAUACGGGCAGACUAGAGGUAUGCAGGGGAGAACGGAAUUCCUGGUGUAGCGGUGAAAUGCGAAGAUAUCAGGAGGAACACCGGUGGCGAAGGCGGUUCUCUGGGCAUGAUCUGACGCUGAGGAGCGAAAGUGUGGGGAGCGAACAGG
RNAcentral lists this ribosomal RNA (253 nucleotides) under uncultured bacterium. RNAcentral describes it as "partial 16S ribosomal RNA". It matches the Rfam family "Bacterial small subunit ribosomal RNA", at positions 524 to 776 of the family's 1533-position model. The record is from RNAcentral.